Molecule: long non-coding RNA, 579 nt
Filed under: Ricinus communis (castor bean)
Lineage: Eukaryota; Viridiplantae; Streptophyta; Magnoliopsida; Malpighiales; Euphorbiaceae
Description: long non-coding RNA (RCOM_LNC002504)
Source: RNAcentral
CCUCUCAUACUCAUCAUCUUGCCUACCAUAACCAGGCCUCCUAGGUGGAUCAUCACCAUAACUUGGCCUCUCAUAUUCAGUCCUCUCUCCGUACCCUCCUUCCUCCCCAUAACUUGGCUUCCUCCCGUACCCGCCUCCAUACUCCGAACCACCACCACCUCCAUACUCAGUCUCGGGUCUCCCUCCAUACCCAGAUCCGUACUCAGCCUCGGGUCUCCGGCCAUACCCACCAGAUCCAUAUUCAGAUUCUUGUUUCCUUCCAUACCCAGAUCCAUAUUCCUCACUUGAUGGCCUUUCAUAUCCACCACCAGAUCCAUAUUCUGACUCCGGUCUCCGGCCAUAACCACCAGAGCCAUAUUCAGAAUCCUGUUUCCUGCCAUGUCCAGAUCCAUAAUCCUCACCAGAUGGCCUCUCAUACUCGGUUCCUCCGCCAUAUCCACCAGACCCAUAUUCUGAAUCAGGUCUCCGACCAUAACCCGAUGGCUUCUCAUACUCACUUACACCACCAUACCCACCAGAUCCAGGCUGGAAUCCAGGAGCAGCGUGAGGCCUAGAAUACGGAUCCCCACCAAUACCACC